CCUACGGGAGGCAGCAGUGAGGAAUAUUGGUCAAUGGACGAGAGUCUGAACCAGCCAAGUAGCGUGAAGGAUGACUGCCCUAUGGGUUGUAAACUUCUUUUAUAUGGGAAUAAAACGUUCCACGUGUGGGAUUUUGUAUGUACCAUAUGAAUAAGGAUCGGCUAACUCCGUGCCAGCAGCCGCGGUAAUACGGAGGAUCCGAGCGUUAUCCGGAUUUAUUGGGUUUAAAGGGAGCGUAGGUGGAUUGUUAAGUCAGUGGUGAAAGUUUGCGGCUCAACCGUAAAAUUGCAGUUGAAAAUGGCAGUCUUGAGUACAGUAGAGGUGGGCGGAAUUCGUGGUGUAGCGGUGAAAUGCUUAGAUAUCACGAAGAACUCCGAUUGCGAAGGCAGUUCACUGGACUGCAACUGACACUGAGGCUCGAAAGUGUGGGUAUCAAACAGGAUUAGAUACCCUGGUAGUC
RNAcentral lists this ribosomal RNA (460 nucleotides) under uncultured bacterium. Its description in RNAcentral is "partial 16S ribosomal RNA". It matches the Rfam family "Bacterial small subunit ribosomal RNA", at positions 338 to 795 of the family's 1533-position model. The record is from RNAcentral.